AGCCCAGGAAGGAGCUGCUUGGCUCUUGGGAGGGGAGCAGACUUUUCCCUGUGCCUGGGCAGUGUGCUGGAGCUGCGGAGAUGCCAACCAGGCUCGGCAGAAAAAGCGUCACCCACCAGAAAGGCAGGAGGAUUCUGAAGCUCAUUGUAAUGCUGCUUCCAAUCCUUUUUGCUGGUGACUACUUCUGGGGCUGGACACUAUGGGGAAAAGAAGUGUUGCAAG
Cygnus olor (mute swan) is the source of this 222-nucleotide long non-coding RNA. RefSeq lists it as uncharacterized. The transcript is spliced from 3 exons. The record is from RefSeq and is a predicted model, not a curated record. NCBI's taxonomy places the organism in Eukaryota, Metazoa, Chordata, Aves, Anseriformes, Anatidae.